Molecule: small RNA, 138 nt
Filed under: Mytilus galloprovincialis (Mediterranean mussel)
Lineage: Eukaryota; Metazoa; Mollusca; Bivalvia; Mytilida; Mytilidae
Source: RNAcentral
AUACAAAAUCGACUUUUGUGAGACAAAAUUGACUUUUGUGAGACAAAAUUGACAAAUUGAAUUUUGUCUCACAAAAUUGAGUUUUGUCUCACAAAAGUCAAUUUUGUGUCACAAAAGUCAAUUUUGUGUCACAAGAGU